Molecule: long non-coding RNA, 2237 nt
Filed under: Ananas comosus (pineapple)
Lineage: Eukaryota; Viridiplantae; Streptophyta; Magnoliopsida; Poales; Bromeliaceae
Description: long non-coding RNA (ACOM_LNC017310)
Source: RNAcentral
AGAAGAAAAUAAAAAAAAAAUCAAAUUAGGACAUGUUUGUCUUACUGAAACUGAACUUUGGAUUGAAGCAGACUUUGUGUUAAAGUGACGUUCAGUGAAAAUUACUUCUUUUCCGCUGUUUGUUUCGUAGUUGUAGAAGCGAAGUUUCAUUAAUUCUGCUGUUUGUUUGGUAGAAAGUGUAUGAUAUAAAACUAUAAUUUAUAUAUAAAUAAUAAAUAAUUUAAUAAAUAAAAUUAAUAUAAUUAUUUUUUUAAUACAUAAAUGAUAAUAAUACAACAAUAAAAUUAUGAAAGUAAAAAAAUUAUUAAUAUUUAAUUAAUCAAUUUCUAUCAUAUUUUAAUUGUGCAAACUAAAUAAAGGAAAUAUCAAAACUUAAUUAAUCAAUUUUUAUUAUAUUUUCAAUAUACCAACUGAAUAAAAGAGUAAUUAGUAUCAUAAUUAAAUAUAUUUAAAUAUAAUUAUUUUAUUAUUUUUUUUCACCUUUUUUUACCGUAAUUGACUUCGGCUCAUGAUGAGCUGAAAUCAAUUACGCCGUUUCAAGCUAACUCGAGUUUCAAUCAUAAUUUUUUUACGGCGAACUAAACAACAGAAGUGAUCGUUUAUGACGAAAACGACUCCUCCCCUCUCCACUUCCACCUCACUUCCACCCAAACAAACAUUAACUAUAGAUUAUUUUUAAGUGAUUAUUCAAAGUUUUUAAAUUUUAAUUUUAUUAUCUAAUUUUUUAAUUUAUUUGAUUUGGAUCAAUUAAUAUUAUUUUAAUUUCAAAUUUGAGUUAAUUACUUAUUGUAAUAAAUUAUAAUUGUAAGAAUUGUAUGGAAUAUAUUGGCUAUGAUAUUCAAAAUUCAAAGUUAAAAUGUUGUUAACUAACUUAAAGCAAAUAAAUUGAAAAGAUUGAGUACUAAAAUUAAAAUUUUGAAAGAUUAGAUAGUGAAAUUAAAGUGGUCUAUAUUUUAGAUAAGUUUUAUAUUUUUUUUUACCAAUUUAAUCUAGAAGCUCUAUCCUGGGAGAUAUCUUGAAAGCGAAGAAUCAAACCAAACAUUUGCAUAUUUACGAGAUAUCUAGUAGAAGAUUAUUUGAGGUGGAGUUUGGGAUGUAGCGCAGUUACUCACUUUAGUACCCUGUGGUUUAAAGUGUAUCAAGUUAAUUAGUAUCCUGUGGUAUAUUUUUCUCUUUUUAUUAUUCAUUUUACUAAUCCUUUUUCGUUAAAUUAGUGAGAAAGUUAAAAUUAAAAGAUACUAAAGUGAAUAUCGAUAAGCCUAGGUGGGGCAUAUAAUUUAACGAAAUAUUAACGGAGGAACUGACGGAAAAAAAAAAUCAUAGAAUACUAACUUAAUACACUUUAAACCAUAGGGUACUAAAGUAAGAAAAUGCAAAACCACAUGGGUGGUAUUUGAAGUUUAUCUUUUUUUUUAAUAUAUACUGGCAUAUUAAAUAUCUACAAGGACAGUAUUUUAAAUACUUGUCGCAGUAGGGGUUUUUUUAUAAAAUGACUCUCCAAAAAAUUGAAAUUGGCAAAAUGACACUGUGAAAAUUUUAUUUGUAAAACCAACCCUUCUUUCGCCACGUGGGUGCCAUGUCAGGGUUUGCUUACAAAGAUGGUGAAUCGUUCGCCGUUUGCUCUUAUUUCUUUUAAAGGCAGUGAAUCGUUUCCCGCUUUUACCCAUUCCUUUUAAAAGCGGUGAAUCGUUCCCCGCUAUGUCCCAUUUCUUUUAAAUGCGGCAAAUCGUUCACCGCAUUCAUUAAAAUUGUGUGUGAAUUAUAUAGGAAAUAGAAAAAAGUGAGGUUGUUAUAAUUAUAUGUGGAUCAUUAAAAUUUUUAUUUGAUUAUUAGGAUUGUAUGGAUAGAUUAUUAGGAUUUUCAGACUGUUAAGAUUAUAUGAAAUUAUAUGAAUAAAUUAUUAGGAUUUAAAGGUUGUUAAGAUUAUAUACGAUUUGUUAGAAUUUUUAUGUGGUUGUUAGGAUUAUAUAUGAGAUAUAGCUGGAAAGAAACAGUGAAUAAGUGAAAGGCGGUGAAUGAUUCACCGUCUUUAAAAGAAAUAGAAAAAAGCGGUGAACAAUUCACCCCUUUAAAAGAAAUGGAAGGAAGCGGUGAACGAUUCAUCGCCUUUAAAAGAAAUUCUUACGUGGCGCCGACGUGGCGAAAGAAGGAUUAGUUUUUCAAAUAAAAUUUUUAGAGGGUUAUUUCGCAAAUUUUAAAAUUUUAGAGGGUUGUUUUAUAAAAAAGUUCUCGCAGUA